This 257-nucleotide unclassified non-coding RNA is filed under the name Hevea brasiliensis (rubber tree). The record is from RNAcentral. Lineage: Eukaryota; Viridiplantae; Streptophyta; Magnoliopsida; Malpighiales; Euphorbiaceae.
GGCAAAGCCGGUGGGGGCUUUGCCUUACGGGCCGAAGAGAUCGUCGCGGGUGAACUCGAUGCUUCAGCGCCAAUGCGCGUCAUUGUCGAGACACUCAUGCAGGCUCGAAUGGCAAUCCUCGAUCGCAUCAAGGGUUUCGAUCGCCAGGGACUGAUGAUUGCCAAGAAGAAUCCGGCAGCACGCUUGUUUAUGACAGGCGCGAUCACAGCUCUCUCGGUUGCGUCGGUCUUCGAUGAUGUCGAGCGCUUCAAGCGAUC